AAAUGAAUUAAUAUAAUCAGUAUUUUAACAUUAAAAAAUUACGAUUUUUAUAAAACUUCAACUUAACAAUAUUUUUUAUUUGCAUAACAAAAGUUUUUACAAAAUGUAAUACAAUAUGUGCCAGCAAUUGCGGUUAAACAUUAACACUAGCUAAAAACUUUACAAUUACACGCUUUUCAAAAAUACAAUAAUUAUUAGUAAAAUAUAAUUAUUCAUUAACUAAUAGUAAUUUAAAACUUUACAUAAACUAGGAUUAGAUACCCUACUAUUUUAAGAAACAUUAAGGUAGUAACACUUUUAAAAAAACCUAUACAUUUUGGCGGCGAAACAUCUUAAAGGAACUUGUUUUUAAAUCGAUAAUACUCGUUAAUUUUCACCUUUUUACAAAGCUUAUAUACCGCCGUUUAAAAAAACUUUAUACAAUAUUAUUUAAAUUUACUUUAAAAAUUCAGGUCAAGGUGUAGCUUAUAUUAAGAGAUAAAAUUAGUUACUAUAAAAAAAAUUUAUAGAAUAUAUAUAACAUAACAAUAAAAAAGGAUUUAAAUUCAAUUCAUUAAUAAUAACAAUGAAUGAAACACUACUAUCGUGUACAUAUCGCCCGUCACCCUCUAUAAUAUAGAGGUAAGUCGUAACACAGUUGAUGUUCUGGAAAGAGCCUCAUGAAU
RNAcentral lists this ribosomal RNA (665 nucleotides) under Parachtes romandiolae. RNAcentral's name for it is "12S ribosomal RNA". The record is from RNAcentral. Lineage: Eukaryota; Metazoa; Arthropoda; Arachnida; Araneae; Dysderidae.